Molecule: ribosomal RNA, 284 nt
Filed under: Pantoea sp.
Lineage: Bacteria; Pseudomonadati; Pseudomonadota; Gammaproteobacteria; Enterobacterales; Erwiniaceae
Description: partial 16S ribosomal RNA
Rfam family: Bacterial small subunit ribosomal RNA
Source: RNAcentral
UGCAGUCGGACGGUAGCACAGAGAGCUUGCUCUCGGGUGACGAGUGGCGGACGGGUGAGUAAUGUCUGGGGAUCUGCCCGAUAGAGGGGGAUAACCACUGGAAACGGUGGCUAAUACCGCAUAACGUCGCAAGACCAAAGAGGGGGACCUUCGGGCCUCUCACUAUCGGAUGAACCCAGAUGGGAUUAGCUAGUAGGCGGGGUAAUGGCCCACCUAGGCGACGAUCCCUAGCUGGUCUGAGAGGAUGACCAGCCACACUGGAACUGAGACACGGUCCAGACUCC